AACGAACGCUGGCGGCAUGCCUAACACAUGCAAGUCGAACGAGACCUUCGGGUCUAGUGGCGCACGGGUGCGUAACGCGUGGGAACCUGCCCUUAGGUUCGGAAUAACUCCCCGAAAGGGGUGCUAAUACCGGAUAAUGUCUUCGGACCAAAGAUUUAUCGCCUUUGGAUGGGCCCGCGUUGGAUUAGCUAGUUGGUAGGGUAAAAGCCUACCAAGGCGACGAUCCAUAGCUGGUCCGAGAGGAUGAUCAGCCACACUGGGACUGAGGCACGGCCCAGACUCCUACGGGAGGCAGCAGUGGGGAAUAUUGGACAAUGGGCGAAAGCCUGAUCCAGCAAUGCCGCGUGAGUGAUGAAGGCCUUAGGGUUGUAAAGCUCUUUUACCCGGGAUGAUAAUGACAGUACCGGGAGAAUAAGCGCCGGCUAACUCCGUG
This 433-nucleotide ribosomal RNA is filed under the name uncultured bacterium. RNAcentral's name for it is "partial 16S ribosomal RNA". It matches the Rfam family "Bacterial small subunit ribosomal RNA", at positions 29 to 507 of the family's 1533-position model. The record is from RNAcentral.